Pygoscelis adeliae (Adelie penguin) is the source of this 417-nucleotide long non-coding RNA. RefSeq lists it as uncharacterized. The record is from RefSeq and is a predicted model, not a curated record. NCBI's taxonomy places the organism in Eukaryota, Metazoa, Chordata, Aves, Sphenisciformes, Spheniscidae. The transcript has 3 exons.
UUUGGAAGGGAGAUCAGCUCCAAGCCGCCCCGCCACGCAAGACACGCUCGGCGGAAAACUAGGAGAUGUUUUCCACACUCCAGAUCUGCUAGAGAAGUUGGAUACAAAGCCCCGUGGGUCGCUGGUGUUUGGCCAAAGGCUGUGGCAUGUGUCUGUGGAGCCACGUUGUAAUACUUCUUCAGGGCAUGGGUAGCUUCUGCGUCAACACCUUGGUGUAGGAGCCGUCCUGUUCCUAUCCUGUUCCUCCUGCUCUCUGCCUCCGCUCCCUCCUGGCUGCGCAGCCCAGCAGGGCUUAACGCCAUUUUGUCAUCUCUGUCUAUUGGCGUGUUCAUCUGGCAAUAUAUUCCCUAUUUUAUCAGCAAUAAAGUAAAAGAAACUUUCAGAAUUGUCAAGCUCCUAAAACCGUGGCUGAAGUUA